Molecule: long non-coding RNA, 955 nt
Organism: Culex pipiens pallens (northern house mosquito)
Lineage: Eukaryota; Metazoa; Arthropoda; Insecta; Diptera; Culicidae
Exons: 2
Source: RefSeq, a predicted model, not a curated record
GAAGAAAAGGGAAAUAGUUAAGAUGAGAUAAAGGUUUGACAAGCGCCUAAAUUGAACCUACAAUAGAGGUCACGCUUCAGGUUAUCACACCCAAAAAGCAAAAACUGAAAAUUUGGUUUAUUGGUCCUUUUCAAAAAAAAACUCCUGAUAUGUGCACAACGAACAACCUCCCAUUCAACCAUUCUUCUAACCAGAUAUUUAUACUCUUCUGCAUCCAGAAACGAUACAGGUAGGGGAACAGCAUCUAAUUCCAGCGUUCCUCUAAUGUUGGCAGGUCAGAACUUUGACAUUCAAUUAAAGCUAAUUAAAAGCGUUUUCUACUGAAAUCGAAUGAUAAACAGCUCAAUAAGAAGUGAGCAAGCAAGUUUCUACAAAAAAGUUUUGCAAAAUUAGUUAUUCGAAUAGUGAAAAUCAGCAAAUUGGAUGGAGUUAGGAGCGAGAGCUUAACCUGCCAAACAUACGAGAAUUUCCCCUACAAACUUAAAAAGUGUCAAACGAAAAUGUGACCAACCACCGGGGGUUGAGUGUAUUUUUUAAACAAAUCUAAUGUGCUUUCUUCAUAGUUAAGUUGGACGCUUAGAAUUCAAGACCACUUUUAUUCACCAAAAAGUGUUUUGAUAUUGCUUAAAUUGUAUUGGUUGUUUAGAAAUCAUACUAUGAUUAUUUUUUUUGGCCGAUGGUUAACCCCACUAGGUACAUCUAAAUUGAAUGUCAGUUUCAUGAUUCAACAAUUGUUAGAAGGUUUGCAGAGUUUAAUUCAAAUACAAUUAAGUUCUUUUUAUUAUGCUUUACAUGCUUUGUGAAAAGAAUGAGUUGGUUGCUUGUUUUCAUUAUUUUGGUUAUAAGAAAUGUAUUUAUUAUUUGCUAAAAUGUUUUAUUAACAAAUAUAACUUGAUUGUUAUAACAUGUUGUUAAUAUUUUUUCAAGUUUAUGUCCUUAGUUUCUAGCUGAUGUC